GUGAGGAAUAUUGGUCAAUGGACGCGAGUCUGAACCAGCCAAGUAGCGUGAAGGAUGACUGCCCUAUGGGUUGUAAACUUCUUUUAUAAGGGAAUAAAGUGAGGGACGUGUCCCUUUUGUAUGUACCUUAUGAAUAAGGAUCGGCUAACUCCGUGCCAGCAGCCGCGGUAAUACGGAGGAUCCAAGCGUUAUCCGGAUUUAUUGGGUUUAAAGGGAGCGUAGGUUGACAUAUAAGUCAGCUGUGAAAGUUUACGGCUCAACCGUGAAAUUGCAGUUGAUACUGUAUGUCUUGAGUGUACAAGAGGUGGGCGGAAUUCGUGGUGUAGCGGUGAAAUGCUUAGAUAUCACGAAGAACUCCAAUUGCGAAGGCAGCUCACUGGGGUACAACUGACACUGAGGCUCGAAAGUGUGGGUAUCAAACAGGAUUAGAUACCCCGGUAGUCC
RNAcentral lists this ribosomal RNA (444 nucleotides) under uncultured bacterium. RNAcentral describes it as "partial 16S ribosomal RNA". It matches the Rfam family "Bacterial small subunit ribosomal RNA", at positions 354 to 796 of the family's 1533-position model. The record is from RNAcentral.